This 254-nucleotide ribosomal RNA is filed under the name uncultured bacterium. RNAcentral's name for it is "partial 16S ribosomal RNA". It matches the Rfam family "Bacterial small subunit ribosomal RNA", at positions 524 to 776 of the family's 1533-position model. The record is from RNAcentral.
UACGUAGGGUGCAAGCGUUGUCCGGAAUUAUUGGGCGUAAAGAGCUCGUAGGCGGUUUGUCGCGUCGGCUGUGAAAACCUGGGGCUUAACUCCGGGCCUGCAGCCGAUACGGGCAGACUAGAGUUCGGCAGGGGAGACUGGAAUUCCGGGUGUAGCGGUGGAAUGCGUAGAGAUCCGGAAGAACACCAGUGGCGAAGGCGGCCCGCUGGGGUGAGGCUGACGCUGAGGCGCGACAGCGUGGGGGAGCAAACAGG